UACGUAGGUGGCGAGCGUUGUCCGGAUUUACUGGGCGUAAAGGGCGUGCAGGCGGUUUGUUAAGUGCAGAGUGAAAGCUCCCGGCUCAACUGGGAGAGGUCUUUGCAUACUGGCAAACUCGAGGGAGGCAGAGGAAAGUGGAAUUCCCGGUGUAGUGGUGAUAUGCGCAGAUAUCAGGAGGAACACCGGUGGCGAAGGCGGGUCUCUGGGCCGAUACUGACGCUGAGGAGCGAAAGCGUGGGGAGCGAACAGG
Molecule: ribosomal RNA, 253 nt
Filed under: uncultured bacterium
Lineage: Bacteria
Description: partial 16S ribosomal RNA
Rfam family: Bacterial small subunit ribosomal RNA
Source: RNAcentral